Molecule: ribosomal RNA, 490 nt
Filed under: Salmonella enterica subsp. enterica serovar Legon
Lineage: Bacteria; Pseudomonadati; Pseudomonadota; Gammaproteobacteria; Enterobacterales; Enterobacteriaceae
Description: bacterial LSU rRNA
Rfam family: Bacterial large subunit ribosomal RNA
Source: RNAcentral
CACGUGGUAUCCUGUCUGAAUAUGGGGGGACCAUCCUCCAAGGCUAAAUACUCCUGACUGACCGAUAGUGAACCAGUACCGUGAGGGAAAGGCGAAAAGAACCCCGGCGAGGGGAGUGAAAAAGAACCUGAAACCGUGUACGUACAAGCAGUGGGAGCCCCACCACUAAGCCAGUGGUGAACUCCACAUACGCAUCCUUUGCUGAGGAUACGGUUAACGGAGCGAAAGCGACGUUCAACCGCAAAAGAAGCAGAGGGGGCUUAGUGGUGGGGUGACUGCGUACCUUUUGUAUAAUGGGUCAGCGACUUAUAUUCUGUAGCAAGGUUAACCGCAUAGGGGAGCCGGAGGGAAACCGAGUCUUAACCGGGCGUUAAGUUGCAGGGUAUAGACCCGAAACCCGGUGAUCUAGCCAUGGGCAGGUUGAAGGUUGGGUAACACUAACUGGAGGACCGAACCGACUAAUGUUGAAAAAUUAGCGGAUGACCUGUGG